This 915-nucleotide ribosomal RNA is filed under the name uncultured Gammaproteobacteria bacterium. Its description in RNAcentral is "bacterial SSU rRNA". It matches the Rfam family "Bacterial small subunit ribosomal RNA", at positions 8 to 916 of the family's 1533-position model. Lineage: Bacteria; Pseudomonadati; Pseudomonadota; Gammaproteobacteria. The record is from RNAcentral.
AGAGUUUGAUCCUGGCUCAGAUUGAACGCUGGCGGCAGGCUUAACACAUGCAAGUCGAACGGUAACAUGAGUGCUUGCACUUGAUGACGAGUGGCGGACGGGUGAGUAAAGUAUGGGGAUCUGCCGAAUGGAGGGGGACAACAGUUGGAAACGACUGCUAAUACCGCAUAAAGUUGAGAGACCAAAGCAUGGGACCUUCGGGCCAUGCGCCAUUUGAUGAACCCAUAUGGGAUUAGCUAGUUGGUAGGGUAAAGGCUUACCAAGGCGACGAUCUCUAGCUGGCCUGAGAGGAUGACCAGCCACACUGGAACUGAGACACGGUCCAGACUCCUACGGGAGGCAGCAGUGGGGAAUAUUGCACAAUGGGGGGAACCCUGAUGCAGCCAUGCCGCGUGUAUGAAGAAGGCCUUCGGGUUGUAAAGUACUUUCGGUAAUGAGGAAGGUGGUGUAUCUAAUAGGUGCAUCAAUUGACGUUAAUUACAGAAGAAGCACCGGCUAACUCCGUGCCAGCAGCCGCGGUAAUACGGAGGGUGCGAGCGUUAAUCGGAAUGACUGGGCGUAAAGGGCAUGUAGGCGGAUAAUUAAGUUAGGUGUGAAAGCCCUGGGCUCAACCUAGGAAUUGCACUUAAAACUGGUUAACUAGAGUAUUGUAGAGGAAGGUAGAAUUCCACGUGUAGCGGUGAAAUGCGUAGAGAUGUGGAGGAAUACCGGUGGCGAAGGCGGCCUUCUGGACAGAUACUGACGCUGAGAUGCGAAAGCGUGGGGAGCAAACAGGAUUAGAUACCCUGGUAGUCCACGCUGUAAACGAUGUCGAUUUGGAGUUUGUUGCCCUGAGUGAUGGGCUCCGAAGCUAACGCGAUAAAUCGACCGCCUGGGGAGUACGGCCGCAAGGUUAAAACUCAAAUGAAUUGACGG